This 252-nucleotide ribosomal RNA is filed under the name uncultured bacterium. Its description in RNAcentral is "partial 16S ribosomal RNA". It matches the Rfam family "Bacterial small subunit ribosomal RNA", at positions 524 to 776 of the family's 1533-position model. The record is from RNAcentral.
UACGAAGGUGGCAAGCGUUGUUCGGAUUUACUGGGCGUACAGGGAGCGUAGGCGGUUGGAUAAGCCCUCCGUGAAAUCUCCAGGCUUAACCUGGAAAGUGCAGAGGGGACUGUUCAGCUAGAGGAUGGGAGAGGAGCGCGGAAUUCCCGGUGUAGCGGUGAAAUGCGUAGAGAUCGGGAGGAAGGCCGGUGGCGAAGGCGGCGCUCUGGAACAUUUCUGACGCUGAGGCUCGAAAGCGUGGGAGCAAACAGG